Long non-coding RNA from Lytechinus variegatus (green sea urchin), 644 nucleotides. RefSeq lists it as uncharacterized. Lineage: Eukaryota; Metazoa; Echinodermata; Echinoidea; Temnopleuroida; Toxopneustidae. The record is from RefSeq and is a predicted model, not a curated record. The transcript is spliced from 2 exons.
AACAAACACAUUUAUUAUUUGCUGCAGGAAUAUGAUUUAUUCAGACUGUAACCAGAUAAACAUCAAACUCUUCAUUAUUUCAGAAGCAAAGAUCACUACAUGGGAAAGGGUAUAUAAACAAUGACGUACACAAGUACAAAAAAUACUUGAUCAAUAAAAUUGUCAGUUUGAUGAUGGAACUCGCCUGAAGAGUAAUUUCUCCCAAAUCAAUCAGCACUAUUCCAUUUUGUUUUAAAUAUAUGUUUAUGCUUGGAUAAUCAAGAAUUAUUCUCUAAACGAUGUUUUGUAUAAAUGUAGAGUAUGACUGCCUGAAGUACUAGAAUUUACCAUUUCUUGAAUGUUGCCAGUAUCCACGACUAUCCUCCAAGAGUUGCAUUUAAAUUGAAUCGCAAACUAUCUCUGUUUACAAGAGAAUAAUUAAUGAACCCCUUUGUGAAUCACUUCUCAUUGAAAAGAUAUUUGGAAUGAAUUAUAUUUCAACUGUUCACAGGACAAUGCCUUCAUGGACACUAGAUCAAUUCUUUGCAAUUAUAUAUGUAUCUUACCCUGGCACAAAUAGGCCCGUAUUCACAAAGGUAUCUGACCAUUUUGGACAAUAUAUGCAAUCUAUGAUCUUCAAUUCAUUUUUUUGGUGUAAGGUGCUU